This 248-nucleotide long non-coding RNA is filed under the name Phaseolus vulgaris (common bean). RNAcentral's name for it is "long non-coding RNA (PVUL_LNC002477)". The record is from RNAcentral. Lineage: Eukaryota; Viridiplantae; Streptophyta; Magnoliopsida; Fabales; Fabaceae.
GAUUGUGCCUUACCGCGUCAAGGUGGCUGACCUGGAGGCUCUCAUGAAGGCCGACGCCGUCAAGGUGCAAAAACUAGAGAAAAGGUCAGCCGACCGAGAGACCCUCCUUGGGCAGGUGGAAAAGGCAAGGGACGACGCCAUAGCUAAUCUCGCCGAAGCCAACGAAGAUAAGGGAAAGGUAGUUGCUGAAUUGGCCCAAGUGCAAGCGGAAUCCAAGAAGGUUGCUGAAGACCUUCUCCAGGCUCAAG